This 256-nucleotide ribosomal RNA is filed under the name uncultured bacterium. RNAcentral describes it as "partial 16S ribosomal RNA". It matches the Rfam family "Bacterial small subunit ribosomal RNA", at positions 333 to 606 of the family's 1533-position model. The record is from RNAcentral.
UGAGCCCUACGGGACGCAGCAGUGGGGGAUAUUGCACAAUGGGGGAAACCCUGAUGCAGCGACGCCGCGUGGGUGAAGAAGCGCCUCGGCGCGUAAAGCCCUGUCAGCAGGGAAGAAAAUGACGGUACCUGAAGAAGAAGCCCCGGCUAACUACGUGCCAGCAGCCGCGGUAAUACGUAGGGGGCAAGCGUUAUCCGGAUUUACUGGGUGUAAAGGAGGCGCAGACGGCGAUGCAAGCCAGGAGGGAAAGCCCGGG